GACGAACCGUGCGAACGUUGUUCGGAAUCACUGGGCUUAAAGGGCGCAUAGGCGGUCCACCAAGUCAGGGGUGAAAUCUUUCAGCUUAACUGGAAAACAGCUUUUGAUACUGGUGGACUCGAGCGAGGUAGGGGCAGAUGGAACUCUGGGUGGAGCGGUGAAAUGUGUAGAUAUCCAGAGGAACGCCGGUGGCGAAAGCGAUCUGCUGGACCUCUUCUGACGCUGAGGCGCGAAAGCCAGGGGAGCAAACGGG
Molecule: ribosomal RNA, 253 nt
Filed under: uncultured bacterium
Lineage: Bacteria
Description: partial 16S ribosomal RNA
Rfam family: Bacterial small subunit ribosomal RNA
Source: RNAcentral